GAAUAUUGGACAAUGGGCGCAAGCCUGAUCCAGCCAUGCCGCGUGAGUGAUGAAGGCCCUAGGGUUGUAAAGCUCUUUCACCGGUGAAGAUAAUGACGGUAACCGGAGAAGAAGCCCCGGCUAACUUCGUGCCAGCAGCCGCGGUAAUACGAAGGGGGCUAGCGUUGUUCGGAAUUACUGGGCGUAAAGGGCUCGUAGGCGGCCAACUAAGUCGGAUGUGAAAUCCCCAGGCUCAACCUGGGAACUGCAUCCGAUACUGGAUGGCUUGAAUCCGGGAGAGGGAUGCAGAAUUCCAGGUGUAGCGGUGAAAUGCGUAGAUAUCUGGAGGAAUACCGGUGGCGAAGGCGGCAUCCUGGACCGGCAUUGACGCUGAGGCGCGAAAGCCAGGGGAGCAAACGGG
Molecule: ribosomal RNA, 400 nt
Filed under: uncultured bacterium
Lineage: Bacteria
Description: bacterial SSU rRNA
Rfam family: Bacterial small subunit ribosomal RNA
Source: RNAcentral